This 559-nucleotide ribosomal RNA is filed under the name [Lecythophora] canina. RNAcentral describes it as "partial large subunit ribosomal RNA". It matches the Rfam family "Eukaryotic large subunit ribosomal RNA", at positions 62 to 648 of the family's 3401-position model. The record is from RNAcentral. Lineage: Eukaryota; Fungi; Ascomycota; Sordariomycetes; Coniochaetales; Coniochaetaceae.
AAACCAACAGGGAUUGCCCUAGUAACGGCGAGUGAAGCGGCAACAGCUCAAAUUUGAAAUCUGGCCUCGGCCCGAGUUGUAAUUUGUAGAGGAUGCUUUUGGCGAGGUGCCUUCUGAGUUCCCUGGAACGGGACGCCAGAGAGGGUGAGAGCCCCGUAUAGUCGGACACCUAGCCUCUGUAAAGCUCCUUCGACGAGUCGAGUAGUUUGGGAAUGCUGCUCAAAAUGGGAGGUAUAUCUCUUCUAAAGCUAAAUAUAGGCCAGAGACCGAUAGCGCACAAGUAGAGUGAUCGAAAGAUGAAAAGCACUUUGAAAAGAGGGUUAAAUAGCACGUGAAAUUGUUGAAAGGGAAGCGCUUGUGACCAGACUUGCGCCGGGCUGAUCAUCCAGGGUUCUCCCUGGUGCACUCGACCCGGCUCAGGCCAGCGUCGGUUCUCGCGGGGGGACAAAAGCGGCGGGAACGUGGCUCCCACGGGAGUGUUAUAGCCCGCCGCCCAAUGCCCUCGCGGGGACCGAGGUUCGCGCUCUGCAAGGACGCUGGCAUAAUGGUCAUCAGCGAC